RNAcentral lists this ribosomal RNA (260 nucleotides) under uncultured bacterium. RNAcentral's name for it is "partial 16S ribosomal RNA". It matches the Rfam family "Bacterial small subunit ribosomal RNA", at positions 524 to 776 of the family's 1533-position model. The record is from RNAcentral.
UACGGGGGGGAGCAAGCGUUUGUCCGGAUUUACUGGGCGUAAAGCGCGCGUAGGCGGAGCGUUCAGCGUGGCCUGAAAGCCCCCCGGCUCAACCGGGGGAAGGUGGCUGCGUACUGGCGCUCUUGAGGACGGCAGAGGAGUGCGGAAUUCCUGGUGUAGCGGUGAAAUGCGUAGAGAUGUGGAGGAACACCGAUGGCGAAGGCAGCCCCCCUGGGUCAAAAACUGACGCUCAUGCACGAAAGCGUGGGGGAGCAAACAGG